CUUGUAUGUAGUGUUGACGUUUCAAUGCAGGAGUGUGUUUUAUAUGUAGUGUUGAAGUUUGAAUGGAGGGGUGUAUUUGUAUUUAAAGUUGCGGCUCAGAUGCACAGGUACACACUCUGACGCACAAGCAGAUACACAGGCACAUACACUGACACAGGUACAUAUAUUGACACACACACAGACACAUACACUGGUAGACGUACUGACAGACAUACUGACACAGGCACAUAUACAGACAUACUGACACACAGACACAUAUACCGACAUACUGAC
Non-coding RNA from Pelobates cultripes (western spadefoot toad), 273 nucleotides. Lineage: Eukaryota; Metazoa; Chordata; Amphibia; Anura; Pelobatidae. The record is from the annotation of a GenBank genome assembly.